CCUACGGGGCGCAGCAGUGAGGAAUAUUGGUCAAUGGACGAGAGUCUGAACCAGCCAAGUAGCGUGAAGGAUGACUGCCCUAUGGGUUGUAAACUUCUUUUAUAUGGGAAUAAAACGUUCCACGUGUGGGAUUUUGUAUGUACCAUAUGAAUAAGGAUCGGCUAACUCCGUGCCAGCAGCCGCGGUAAUACGGAGGAUCCGAGCGUUAUCCGGAUUUAUUGGGUUUAAAGGGCGCGUAGGUGGAUUGUUAAGUCAGUUGUGAAAGUUUGCGGCUCAACCGUAAAAUUGCAGUUGAAACUGGCAGUCUUGAGUACAGUAGAGGUGGGCGGAAUUCGUGGUGUAGCGGUGAAAUGCUUAGAUAUCACGAAGAACUCCGAUUGCGAAGGCAGUUCACUGGACUGCAACUGACGCUGAGGCUCGAAAGUGUGGGUAUCAAACAGGAUUAGAUACCCGGGUAGUC
This 460-nucleotide ribosomal RNA is filed under the name uncultured bacterium. RNAcentral's name for it is "partial 16S ribosomal RNA". It matches the Rfam family "Bacterial small subunit ribosomal RNA", at positions 338 to 795 of the family's 1533-position model. The record is from RNAcentral.